UACAGAGGGUGCAAGCGUUAAUCGGAAUUACUGGCGUAAAGCGUGCGCAGGCGGUGAUGUAAGACAGAUGUGAAAUCCCCGGGCUUAACCUGGGAACUGCAUUUGUGACUGCAUGGCUGGAGUGCGGCAGAGGGGGAUGGAAUUCCGCGUGUAGCAGUGAAAUGCGUAGAUAUGCGGAGGAACACCGAUGGCGAAGGCAAUCCCCUGGGCCUGCACUGACGCUCAUGCACGAAAGCGUGGGGAGCAAAAGGG
This 252-nucleotide ribosomal RNA is filed under the name uncultured bacterium. RNAcentral's name for it is "partial 16S ribosomal RNA". It matches the Rfam family "Bacterial small subunit ribosomal RNA", at positions 524 to 776 of the family's 1533-position model. The record is from RNAcentral.